GACGAACGCUGGCGGCGUGCUUAGCACAUGCAAGUCGAACGGAAAGGCCCUGCUUUUGUGGGGUGCUCGAGUGGCGAACGGGUGAGUAACACGUGAGUAACCUGCCCUUGACUUUGGGAUAACUUCAGGAAACUGGGGCUAAUACCGGAUAGGAGCUCCUGCUGCAUGGUGGGGGUUGGAAAGUUUCGGCGGUUGGGGAUGGACUCGCGGCUUAUCAGCUUGUUGGUGGGGUAGUGGCUUACCAAGGCUUUGACGGGUAGCCGGCCUGAGAGGGUGACCGGCCACAUUGGGACUGAGAUACGGCCCAGACUCCUACGGGAGGCAGCAGUGGAGAAUAUUGCACAAUGGGCGGAAGCCUGAUGCAGCAACGCCGCGUGCGGGAUGACGGCCUUCGGGUUGUAAACCGCUUUCGCCUGUGACGAAGCGUGAGUGACGGUAAUGGGUAAAGAAGCACCGGCUAACUACGUG
RNAcentral lists this ribosomal RNA (468 nucleotides) under uncultured bacterium. RNAcentral describes it as "partial 16S ribosomal RNA". It matches the Rfam family "Bacterial small subunit ribosomal RNA", at positions 28 to 507 of the family's 1533-position model. The record is from RNAcentral.